This 917-nucleotide ribosomal RNA is filed under the name uncultured bacterium. RNAcentral's name for it is "bacterial SSU rRNA". It matches the Rfam family "Bacterial small subunit ribosomal RNA", at positions 9 to 916 of the family's 1533-position model. The record is from RNAcentral.
GAGUUUGAUCAUGGCUCAGGAUGAACGCUAGCGACAGGCUUAACACAUGCAAGUCGAGGGGCAGCGGGGAGGUAGCAAUACUUCCGCCGGCGACCGGCGCACGGGUGAGUAACACGUAUGCAACCUGCCCCUGUCAGGGGGACAACCCGCCGAAAGGCGGGCUAAGCCCGCGUAUAUCUCCCCGGGGCAUCCCGGGGGGAGGAAAGGAGCGAUCCGGACAGGGAUGGGCAUGCGGCGCAUUAUCUGGUCGGCGGGGUAACGGCCCACCCAGGCGACGAUGCGUAGGGGUUCUGAAAGGAAGGCCCCCCACACUGGUACUGAGACACGGACCAGACUCCUACGGGAGGCAGCAGUGAGGAAUAUUGGUCAAUGGGCGGGAGCCUGAACCAGCCAAGCCGCGUGAGGGAAGAAGGUACAGCGUAUCGUAAACCUCUUUUGUCAUGGAACAAAGGCGGGGACUAGUCCCCGGAUGAGGGUACCUGAAAAAAAAGCAUCGGCUAACUCCGUGCCAGCACCCGCGGUAAUACGGAGGAUGCGAGCGUUAUCCGGAUUUAUUGGGUUUAAAGGGUGCGCAGGCGGCCUGUUAAGUCAGCGGUAAAAGCCCGGGGCUCAACCCCGGCGAGCCGUUGAAACUGGCGGGCUGGAGUUGGAGAGAAGUACGCGGAAUGCGCGGUGUAGCGGUGAAAUGCUUAGAUAUCGCGCAGAACCCCGAUUGCGAAGGCAGCGUACCGGCUCCAGACUGACGCUGAGGCACGAAAGCGUGGGUAUCGAACAGGAUUAGAUACCCUGGUAGUCCACGCAGUAAACGAUGAAUGCUUGCUGUCCGGGCAGUGAUAUGCCUGGGGGGCGAAGCGAAAGCGAUAAGCAUUCCACCUGGGGAGUACGCCGGCAACGGUGAAACUCAAAGGAAUUGACGG